Molecule: ribosomal RNA, 1003 nt
Filed under: Salmonella enterica subsp. enterica serovar Kentucky
Lineage: Bacteria; Pseudomonadati; Pseudomonadota; Gammaproteobacteria; Enterobacterales; Enterobacteriaceae
Description: partial 23S ribosomal RNA
Rfam family: Bacterial large subunit ribosomal RNA
Source: RNAcentral
GGGCGUUAAGUUGCAGGGUAUAGACCCGAAACCCGGUGAUCUAGCCAUGGGCAGGUUGAAGGUUGGGUAACACUAACUGGAGGACCGAACCGACUAAUGUUGAAAAAUUAGCGGAUGACCUGUGGCUGGGGGUGAAAGGCCAAUCAAACCGGGAGAUAGCUGGUUCUCCCCGAAAGCUAUUUAGGUAGCGCCUCGUGAAUUCAUCUCCGGGGGUAGAGCACUGUUUCGGCUAGGGGGCCAUCCCGGCUUACCAACCCGAUGCAAACUGCGAAUACCGGAGAAUGUUAUCACGGGAGACACACGGCGGGUGCUAACGUCCGUCGUGAAGAGGGAAACAACCCAGACCGCCAGCUAAGGUCCCAAAGUCAUGGUUAAGUGGGAAACGAUGUGGGAAGGCCCAGACAGCCAGGAUGUUGGCUUAGAAGCAGCCAUCAUUUAAAGAAAGCGUAAUAGCUCACUGGUCGAGUCGGCCUGCGCGGAAGAUGUAACGGGGCUAAACCAUGCACCGAAGCUGCGGCAGCGACACUGUGUGUUGUUGGGUAGGGGAGCGUUCUGUAAGCCUGCGAAGGUGUCCCGUGAGGGAUGCUGGAGGUAUCAGAAGUGCGAAUGCUGACAUAAGUAACGAUAAAGCGGGUGAAAAGCCCGCUCGCCGGAAGACCAAGGGUUCCUGUCCAACGUUAAUCGGGGCAGGGUGAGUCGACCCCUAAGGCGAGGCCGAAAGGCGUAGUCGAUGGGAAACGGGUUAAUAUUCCCGUACUUGGUGUUACUGCGAAGGGGGGACGGAGAAGGCUAUGUUGGCCGGGCGACGGUUGUCCCGGUUUAAGCGUGUAGGCUGGUUUUCCAGGCAAAUCCGGAAAAUCAAGGCUGAGGCGUGACGACGAGGCACUACGGUGCUGAAGCAACAAAUGCCCUGCUUCCAGGAAAAGCCUCUAAGCAUCAGGUAACAUCAAAUCGUACCCCAAACCGACACAGGUGGUCAGGUAGAGAAUACCAAGGCGCUUGA